GUGUCAGCCGCCGCGGUAAUACCAGCUCUCCGAGUUGUGGGGACGUUUAUUGAGCCUGAAGCAUCCGUAGCCGGCUGUGCAAGUCCCCUGUUAAAUCCAGCGACUAAUCGUUGGCCUGCGGGGGAUACUGCUCGGCUAGGGGGCGGGAGAGGCCGUCGGUAUUCUUGGGGUAGGGGUGAAAUCCUAUAAUCCCAGGAGGACCACCAGUGGCGAAGGCUGUCGGCUAGAACGCGCCUGACGGUGAGGGAUGAAAGCUGGGGGAGCGAACCGGAUUAGAUACCCGGGUAGUCCCAGCUGUAAACGAUGCAGGCUAGGUGUUAGGGCGGCUACGUGCCGCUCUAGUGCCGCAGGGAAGCUGUUAAGCCUGCCGCUUGGGGAGUACGGCCGCAAGGCUGAAACUCAAAGGAAUUGACGGGG
Molecule: ribosomal RNA, 417 nt
Filed under: uncultured prokaryote
Description: bacterial SSU rRNA
Rfam family: Archaeal small subunit ribosomal RNA
Source: RNAcentral